Molecule: ribosomal RNA, 502 nt
Filed under: uncultured bacterium
Lineage: Bacteria
Description: partial 16S ribosomal RNA
Rfam family: Bacterial small subunit ribosomal RNA
Source: RNAcentral
GAUUAACGCUGGCGGCGUGCCUAACACAUGCAAGUCGAGCGGCAGCGAGUUUUACACUGACUUCUGGACGCUUCUAGUUGACAGAGAAGAUUUAUUCAAGAAUUUUGUGUAAAAUGUCGGCGAGCGGCGGACGGCUGAGUAACGCGUGGGAACGUACCCCAAAGUGAGGGAUAACGCAUCGAAAGGUGUGCUAAUACCGCAUAUGGUCUUCGGAUUAAAGCCUUCGGGCGCUUUGGGAACGGCCUGCGUAAGAUUAGAUAGUUGGUGGGGUAAUGGCCUACCAAGUCGACGAUCGUUAACUGGUUUGAGAGGAUGAUCAGUCAGACUGGAACUGAGACACGGUCCAGACUCCUACGGGAGGCAGCAGUGAGGAAUCUUCCACAAUGGGCGAAAGCCUGAUGGAGCAACGCCGCGUGCAGGAUGAAGGCCUUCGGGUUGUAAACUGCUUUUAUAAGUGAGGAUUAUGACAGUAACUGAUGAAUAAGGAUCGGCUAACUACGUG